Zingiber officinale is the source of this 498-nucleotide long non-coding RNA. RefSeq lists it as uncharacterized. The transcript has 3 exons. The record is from RefSeq and is a predicted model, not a curated record. NCBI's taxonomy places the organism in Eukaryota, Viridiplantae, Streptophyta, Magnoliopsida, Zingiberales, Zingiberaceae.
GACAUUUGAGUGUUUUCAAUUUUUCUAACUAUAUCUGAUUGGUAACCCUACUGACAUUCCGCCCCGCCCCCAUCGCCGGCGUCACCGCCAUCGGUCCUCCUCUUCUCCACGCCUCCAGUGAUCGAUCAUAAGUUUAUACCUAGUAAGUUUACACAAAUAGAAUUUAUCAAGACAAUGGAUCCAUAGGAAGGAUACUCCAUUCUAGUUUGAGGUGCUAGUAGAAACCAUUCCUGCCAUUUUGAAGAGCUCAUUAUUGCCAAGAUCCCUGAUAAACAACUGGGUCAAAGCGUGGCUGUCUAAGUGUCAUGGAGAAGAGCACCAAGGUCUACUACCACUACAAUCAUACCGAUGCUUGUCGCCUCUCCAGAUGGAACACAAGGGAAUGUUACCAAUAUCUCUAUGCAAGGCCAUGGAAAAAGGUGGUGAAUUUCUAUGAAAAUUUGGUGAGCAGCGGAAAGGGCUCUUCCUCGCUCUAUAGCCUAUUCUCCUCUGAGGUAA